Molecule: ribosomal RNA, 253 nt
Filed under: uncultured bacterium
Lineage: Bacteria
Description: partial 16S ribosomal RNA
Rfam family: Bacterial small subunit ribosomal RNA
Source: RNAcentral
UACGUAGGGGGCAAGCGUUGUCCGGAAUCAUUGGGCGUAAAGAGCGUGUAGGCGGCCCGAUAAGUCCGCUGUGAAAGUCCAGGGCUCAACCCUGGAAUGCCGGUGGAUACUGUCGGGCUCGAAUCCGGAAGAGGUGAGUGGAAUUCCUGGUGUAGCGGUGAAAUGCGCAGACAUCAGGAGGAACACCAAUGGCGAAGGCAGCUCACUGGGACGGUAUUGACGCUGAGACGCGAAAGCGUGGGGAGCAAACAGG